This 468-nucleotide ribosomal RNA is filed under the name uncultured bacterium. Its description in RNAcentral is "partial 16S ribosomal RNA". The stretch from base 15 to 371 matches the Rfam family "Bacterial small subunit ribosomal RNA", at positions 42 to 397 of the family's 1533-position model. The record is from RNAcentral.
GACGAACGCUGGCGGCGUGCUUAACACAUGCAAGUCGAACGGAAAGGCCCUGCUUUUGUGGGGUGCUCGAGUGGCGAACGGGUGGGUAACACGUGAGUAACCUGCCCUUGACUUUGGGAUAACUUCAGGAAACUGGGGCUAAUACCGGAUAGGAGCUCCUGCUGCAUGGUGGGGGUUGGAAAGUUUCGGCGGUUGGGGAUGGACUCGCGGCUUAUCAGCUUGUUGGUGGGGUAGUGGCUUACCAAGGCUUUGACGGGUAGCCGGCCUGAGGGGGUGACCGGCAAAAGGGGGACGGAUACAGGGCCGGGACUCAGAGGGGGGGAGGAGGGGGGAAUUUUGGAAAAAGGGGGGGAAGCCGGAGGCAGAAACGCGGGGGGGGGGAGGCGGGCCUGGGGUUUGAAACCCGGUUGCGCCGGUGAAGAGGGGGGAGGGAGGGAAAGGGAUAAAGAAAACCGGGAAAACUCCGGC